RNAcentral lists this ribosomal RNA (328 nucleotides) under uncultured eukaryote. Its description in RNAcentral is "partial 18S ribosomal RNA". It matches the Rfam family "Eukaryotic small subunit ribosomal RNA", at positions 1470 to 1796 of the family's 1831-position model. The record is from RNAcentral.
CCCUUAGAUGUCCGGGGCUGCACGCGCGCUACACUGAAGGAAUCAGCGUGCUAAAACCAUUGUCGAAAGGCAUUGGUAAACCCAUUAAAAUCCUACGUGAUUGGGAUCGGGAAUUGCAAUUAUUUCCCUUGAACGAGGAAUUCCCAGUAAGUGUGGGUCAUAAGCUCGCGUUGAUUACGUCCCUGCCCUUUGUACACGCCGCCCGUCGCUGCCCGGGACUGAGCCGUUUCGAGAAAAGCGGGGACUGCUGCUGUCGGGGCUUUCGGGCCUUGGCUUCGGUGGAAACCGCUUUAAUCGCAGUGGCUUGAACCGGGCAAAANUCGUANCA